ACAUGCAAGUCGAGCGAGCUUGCCUAGAUGAUUUUAGUGCUUGCACUAAAUGAAACUAGAUACAAGCGAGCGGCGGACGGGUGAGUAACACGUGGGUAACCUGCCCAAGAGACUGGGAUAACACCUGGAAACAGAUGCUAAUACCGGAUAACAACACUAGACGCAUGUCUAGAGUUUGAAAGAUGGUUCUGCUAUCACUCUUGGAUGGACCUGCGGUGCAUUAGCUAGUUGGUAAGGUAACGGCUUACCAAGGCAAUGAUGCAUAGCCGAGUUGAGAGACUGAUCGGCCACAUUGGGACUGAGACACGGCCCAAACUCCUACGGGAGGCAGCAGUAGGGAAUCUUCCACAAUGGACGAAAGUCUGAUGGAGCAACGCCGCGUGAGUGAAGAAGGGUUUCGGCUCGUAAAGCCCUGUUGGUAGUGAAGAAAGAUAGAGGUAGUAACUGGCCUUUAUUUGACGGUAAUUACUUAGAAAGUCACGGCUAACUACGUG
This 494-nucleotide ribosomal RNA is filed under the name uncultured Lactobacillus sp. RNAcentral describes it as "bacterial SSU rRNA". It matches the Rfam family "Bacterial small subunit ribosomal RNA", at positions 53 to 507 of the family's 1533-position model. Lineage: Bacteria; Bacillati; Bacillota; Bacilli; Lactobacillales; Lactobacillaceae. The record is from RNAcentral.